This 253-nucleotide ribosomal RNA is filed under the name uncultured bacterium. RNAcentral describes it as "partial 16S ribosomal RNA". It matches the Rfam family "Bacterial small subunit ribosomal RNA", at positions 524 to 776 of the family's 1533-position model. The record is from RNAcentral.
UACAGAGGUCUCAAGCGUUGUUCGGAUUCAUUGGGCGUAAAGGGUGCGUAGGUGGUGAUGCAAGUCUGGUGUGAAAUCUCGGAGCUCGACUCCGAAAUUGCACCGGAUACUGCGUGACUCGAGGACUGUAGAGGAGAUCGGAAUUCACGGUGUAGCAGUGAAAUGCGUAGAUAUCGUGAGGAAGACCAGUUGCGAAGGCGAGUCUCUGGACGACUCCUGACACUGAGGCACGAAAGCUAGGGGAGCAAACAGG